UGCCAGCCGUUUCCUUCCUGUUUAUAUACUUUUCACGGAUAAAUUUAAAUAAAAUUUUUUUUAACUACUUAUGCGCACGUCAAACAGUGAAGUUUUCUCCUAUUAAAAGGUGUUCCCUUUUGUGUAAUAACAUUACUGUUGUAAAUCGUAUAUCUGUAAAAUUACCGUCACGAAAUUACUGCGAUUUUGGAGGGCUGAUAGCAUUAAAGUGUUUUAAUAAUGUAGACGGGAGUAGGUGGACCCCUUAUGAAGACGAAUUUUACACUUUUCAUAAAAAGAUGCGCAGAAGACAUAAAAAGAGGAAGCACUGCCAAUAUAAAAGGCCUAAAGAUGAUCCACAUUAUUGGAAAAAAGUCUACAGGAAACAAAAGCAGAGGGCAGAAAUUUUAAAAACUUUAUAUGCUCAGUUAGAACAAAAAAAGU
Long non-coding RNA from Zophobas morio, 423 nucleotides. RefSeq lists it as uncharacterized. The transcript has 3 exons. Lineage: Eukaryota; Metazoa; Arthropoda; Insecta; Coleoptera; Tenebrionidae. The record is from RefSeq and is a predicted model, not a curated record.